AUGAUGACGACGAUGACAGAGAGCAUGAUGCAGAUUUCAUUCCUACAGACGGCGAUGAUGCCGAAGAGCACGACAGCGACGCAGAACAUGACGACGAUCCCAAAUCAGGCAAGAAGGACAGAAACAGGAGAAAGGCAAGCGGGAAAGAAUUGGCAGCACCAACAGUUGACGAAGAACAAGAAGAAACAAACGAAGAGAAAUGCCAAAUCAAGGCAGGGGCAGCAUUCGCUCAUGUCAAGAAAGCAUGGAAUUUACUUAAAGACCGUCACAAGAAAGAUAUUAGGACGGCAGGAUUUGGCAGCAUAG
This 306-nucleotide ribosomal RNA is filed under the name Triticum aestivum (bread wheat). RNAcentral's name for it is "partial small subunit ribosomal RNA". Lineage: Eukaryota; Viridiplantae; Streptophyta; Magnoliopsida; Poales; Poaceae. The record is from RNAcentral.